GUAACUCAAAUUUGUAUGGAGUUGCAACGUUUGCUUACGUUUGCCGCUAGGGGCGCUGUUCUAACUUCAAACAAAUUUGAGUUA
Molecule: microRNA precursor, 84 nt
Filed under: Bombyx mori (domestic silkworm)
Lineage: Eukaryota; Metazoa; Arthropoda; Insecta; Lepidoptera; Bombycidae
Description: mir-2807 microRNA precursor family
Rfam family: mir-2807 microRNA precursor family
Source: Rfam by way of RNAcentral